Molecule: ribosomal RNA, 1487 nt
Filed under: uncultured Bacteroides sp.
Lineage: Bacteria; Pseudomonadati; Bacteroidota; Bacteroidia; Bacteroidales; Bacteroidaceae
Description: bacterial SSU rRNA
Rfam family: Bacterial small subunit ribosomal RNA
Source: RNAcentral
AGAGUUUGAUCCUGGCUCAGGAUGAACGCUAGCUACAGGCUUAACACAUGCAAGUCGAGGGGCAUCAGGAAGAAAGCUUGCUUUCUUUGCUGGCGACCGGCGCACGGGUGAGUAACACGUAUCCAACCUGCCCUUUACUCGGGGAUAGCCUUUCGAAAGAAAGAUUAAUACCCGAUAGCAUAAUGAUUCCGCAUGGUUUCAUUAUUAAAGGAUUCCGGUAAAGGAUGGGGAUGCGUUCCAUUAGGUUGUUGGUGAGGUAACGGCCCACCAAGCCUUCGAUGGAUAGGGGUUCUGAGAGGAAGGUCCCCCACAUUGGAACUGAGACACGGUCCAAACUCCUACGGGAGGCAGCAGUGAGGAAUAUUGGUCAAUGGGCGCUAGCCUGAACCAGCCAAGUAGCGUGAAGGAUGAAGGCUCUAUGGGUCGUAAACUUCUUUUAUAUAAGAAUAAAGUGCAGUAUGUAUACUGUUUUGUAUGUAUUAUAUGAAUAAGGAUCGGCUAACUCCGUGCCAGCAGCCGCGGUAAUACGGAGGAUCCGAGCGUUAUCCGGAUUUAUUGGGUUUAAAGGGAGCGUAGGUGGACUGGUAAGUCAGUUGUGAAAGUUUGCGGCUCAACCGUAAAAUUGCAGUUGAUACUGUCAGUCUUGAGUACAGUAGAGGUGGGCGGAAUUCGUGGUGUAGCGGUGAAAUGCUUAGAAAUCACGAAGAACUCCGAUUGCGAAGGCAGCUCACUGGACUGCAACUGACACUGAUGCUCGAAAGUGUGGGUAUCAAACAGGAUUAGAUACCCUGGUAGUCCACACAGUAAAACGAUGAAUACUCGCUGUUUGCGAUAUACAGUAAGCGGCCAAGCGAAAGCAUUAAGUAUUCCACCUGGGGAGUACGCCGGCAACGGUGAAACUCAAAGGAAUUGACGGGGGCCCGCACAAGCGGAGGAACAUGUGGUUUAAUUCGAUGAUACGCGAGGAACCUUACCCGGGCUUAAAUUGCAGUGGAAUGAUGUGGAAACAUGUCAGUGAGCAAUCACCGCUGUGAAGGUGCUGCAUGGUUGUCGUCAGCUCGUGCCGUGAGGUGUCGGCUUAAGUGCCAUAACGAGCGCAACCCUUAUCUUCAGUUACUAACAGGUCAUGCUGAGGACUCUGGAGAGACUGCCGUCGUAAGAUGUGAGGAAGGUGGGGAUGACGUCAAAUCAGCACGGCCCUUACGUCCGGGGCUACACACGUGUUACAAUGGGGGGUACAGAAGGCAGCUAGCGGGUGACCGUAUGCUAAUCCCAAAAUCCUCUCUCAGUUCGGAUCGAAGUCUGCAACCCGACUUCGUGAAGCUGGAUUCGCUAGUAAUCGCGCAUCAGCCACGGCGCGGUGAAUACGUUCCCGGGCCUUGUACACACCGCCCGUCAAGCCAUGGGAGCCGGGGGUACCUGAAGUACGUAACCGCAAGGAUCGUCCUAGGGUAAAACUGGUGACUGGGGCUAAGUCGUAACAAGGU